CCUGAGAUGGCUUCUGCUUCUGUUCCGGUGGCUUUGUCUCUGACCUCUGUCACGCACAGCAAGCCUUCAUGCCAAGCCUUCUUCAGGCCAUUACCCCUACCACAACCAAAGAAGACCCUCUCAACAAAGCCACUGUCAAACUCCAACCUUCAAAUUAAUGCAUCUUUGAAGGAGAAGGCAGUGACAGGACUCACAGCCGCAACCUUCACAGCCUCUAUGGUGAUCCCAGAGGUGGCUCUUGCUGCUGGAUCCGACUUCUCCCCUUCUCUCAAGAACUUUCUAUUCAGCAUCUUCGCUGGUGGGGUUGUGCUAGUAGCCAUACUUGGAGCAGUUGUUGGAGUUUCCAACUUUG
RNAcentral lists this long non-coding RNA (352 nucleotides) under Phaseolus vulgaris (common bean). RNAcentral describes it as "long non-coding RNA (PVUL_LNC001100)". Lineage: Eukaryota; Viridiplantae; Streptophyta; Magnoliopsida; Fabales; Fabaceae. The record is from RNAcentral.